RNAcentral lists this ribosomal RNA (420 nucleotides) under Bacillus sp. RZ3MS25. RNAcentral's name for it is "bacterial SSU rRNA". It matches the Rfam family "Bacterial small subunit ribosomal RNA", at positions 57 to 467 of the family's 1533-position model. Lineage: Bacteria; Bacillati; Bacillota; Bacilli; Caryophanales; Bacillaceae. The record is from RNAcentral.
GCAGUCGAGCGAUGGAUUAAGAGCUUGCUCUUAUGAAGUUAGCGGCGGACGGGUGAGUAACACGUGGGUAACCUGCCCAUAAGACUGGGAUAACUCCGGGAAACCGGGGCUAAUACCGGAUAACAUUUUGAACCGCAUGGUUCGAAAUUGAAAGGCGGCUUCGGCUGUCACUUAUGGAUGGACCCGCGUCGCAUUAGCUAGUUGGUGAGGUAACGGCUCACCAAGGCAACGAUGCGUAGCCGACCUGAGAGGGUGAUCGGCCACACUGGGACUGAGACACGGCCCAGACUCCUACGGGAGGCAGCAGUAGGGAAUCUUCCGCAAUGGACGAAAGUCUGACGGAGCAACGCCGCGUGAGUGAUGAAGGCUUUCGGGUCGUAAAACUCUGUUGUUAGGGAAGAACAAGUGCUAGUUGAAUAA